Halichondria panicea is the source of this 567-nucleotide long non-coding RNA. RefSeq lists it as uncharacterized. The record is from RefSeq and is a predicted model, not a curated record. Lineage: Eukaryota; Metazoa; Porifera; Demospongiae; Suberitida; Halichondriidae. The transcript is spliced from 2 exons.
CUAAAUCACGUAGAAACUUCCUAAACAGUGUCUAAGCAUUUUAGAUCAUAGCAACAACGCUCAUACGCCUGACAACAAUGGUUUGAACGCACAAACAAUGGAUUCUGAGCCUCCUCCUGUGCCGAACGCUUUCUUGAGUCGCCUAUUACACGGUUUCGAACUACAUGUACUGAGACCCAGCCCACAUCCUUCCCUGCUUCCUUCCAAACCAGCCAUACCUCCAACUCUGUCUUUGCAGCAACCAGCCCCACCUCCAUAUCUGCUGCAGCAACCAGCCCCACCUUCCUAUCUGCUCUCUCUGACCUGCAAGACGAAGUGGCAAAGAAAGCAAGAAAUUCGCUCCCCCAAAGUCAAGUAAAGAAGUAGAACAAGCAAGAAAGGAAACAAUACCAAAGAAACACUCAUUGACAUCAAGUAUUGCUUAUUAUUAUGUACUUUUAUUAUGGUUAUUAUCUUAUCUUGAUCAAAUCUUUGCUACAUGAUUUUCUAUUGAAGUACAUGAUUUUCUAUUAAAGUACAUGAUUUUCUAAAUUGGAUAGAACAUUUCCUCUAACCAAUCAGAUUGCA